AAUAAAAUAAAGAAUUUGCAUUAAGAAAAUGAAGUUUAUUUUAGAAUAAAGUAUCUUUGCAUCAUUUUCUUAACGGUUUGCCCCAAAUUCUUAAUGUAAACAAUCUUGAUGUUUCUUCUCCUUUUUCUUCUUCUUCUUCUUCGUUGUGUGUGUGUGUGUGUGUGUGUGUGUGAGAGAGAGAGAGGAGAGAAGAGAGAGAGGAGUCUAUUUGUUUCUUUAUUGUAAAGAGUGGGCAGAUGCGUUUAAUUUGUCCUGAAAAUAAUGCAAUACAAUUAAAGUUCAGAAAAUCUUCUUGCUUUUUUUUUUUUGGCUAAGGUGAAAUAAUGAUCUGGGAAUAUUCUUGAAUAUUCCUAAAAUUCACCGAACAAUAACCAGAAAAUCUAUCUAUAUAACCACCAAGUCUGUUGUCCCUCAAAGUUUGAUUUUCUUCACAAUAUUCUAAUUGCAUUAUGCCUGGACUGGUGUCAGAUGGUCCAUAGGGGGCAGUGUUUGCCAUUACACAGAGUUCUGGUUCAAAGAGCCAUUCGAUGGCUGUUCUGUUAGUCUUAUACAUCUAGUGGCUUGAUGCACAUUUGCAAAAACCUCUGAAGUUAAGAAAGUUAUUCAUAAUUGCCUUAACUGAGUUUUGUAGCAGCUGGCUUCCAUGGCCUAAUUUCUCCUCCUCUAGGAUUUUGCAGGUAGUGACGUUUUAUCUUGUUUAUAGACAUUAUGUGUUGUUGUGACGAUAUUUAAAUGCACACACCCCUCAGGAUAUUGAAUUCCUGAUCUGAAGUGUUCCUGAGAAAAGGGUUGUCACUUUGUUCUACUUCGAACUCGGCCAGAUUGUGUGUAGAUCCUUUAUGCAAAAGUAUCAAGAGAAAAAAAAUAAAAAAAUAAUAAUACUAUCUGUUUUAAUGUUAUCAGAAAGAAAAAAAGAUAAUUAAGUACUUGAUACAAACUGACAUUUUAGCAAAGGCUAGUUUUCCAGUCCAAUACACAUGGUGUUCCUCAAAGCUCUGUCCUUGGACCAUCUUUGAUUGUGUAAUCUGUAAUUGUAGAGAGGGCAUUGUGCAUGCACAAGUUAAUUAUUUGAAAAUGCAUUAAACUGGAUCACGUCAAAUUGAAUAUUGCAGCCCAGUUCAGUGAUGGACAUGUAUGGUGGUGCACACAAUUUCUUUAUUUUAUGCAGCUCCUGUGUUAGCAAAUGUAAGAUCAAGCUUCACAUUGACAUAAAAUGACCACAAUCUAAACCUUAUUGUGAUUCACCUUGUCUGACUCCACGUUGAGAGUUCUUGAAAAAAAGAAAAGAAAAUUGUCCCAUCCUUUUUGUUUUAAUUGUAUAUAGAAAUUAAGUACACACAUUUAAAUGACGUUUGCAGCACAGUUUCCAUGUGAUAUUGAGUGUGUCUCUUUUAAUUGUGGGUCACAAUCAAAACAAUGGCAUCAGUGGAGCCUUUGCAAUAAUAAUAGUCAGCGUGAUUACAGUGACACAUGUCAUGUCCAUCUAUAUUGAGUGCAUUUUGCUUUUUGUUUGUUUCCUGCUGGAAACAGACAAGCACCCUCAACACCACACACACACAAACAUAUUCAGACACACACCAGAAAAGCAUGUUUGGUUUGUAUUGAUUGGUAGGUAUUGAUAAUCAUUGCUGCAAUCAUACCAUGCUGGAGGGAGGAUGUUUUCAGUGCACUUGAAGUUUGCUUUCUUGUCUAAUGUUUCUUGAUUUCUUGCAUGCUGCGGUUAUUCUAUUUAAGUUUUUUUUUUCUUUUUUCUAAGAGUUUUUACUCUCCUUCCCAACUUUGUAUAGACAGACAGUUGUGGUAAGUGUAACGGGUGGAUAAUGCUGGUGUGUUCUCCUGCAGUGAAUGCUUGUCAGGCAGGCAGUAAUACAGUACAUUACUGUAGGUGCUGAUUCAGACUUUAUGAUGUCAUCUCUGAAAGGGUGACUUUUAAUGACAUUUAACGCAAAAUGUAACAUAUGUGAAUAAAAUAUACAGAUGCUCUGA
Molecule: long non-coding RNA, 1986 nt
Organism: Carassius carassius (crucian carp)
Lineage: Eukaryota; Metazoa; Chordata; Actinopteri; Cypriniformes; Cyprinidae
Exons: 2
Source: RefSeq, a predicted model, not a curated record